CACAAAAGUAGGUAAGAUGACUAUAGUAAUCUAACUAGGCUACAAUACAGAAAACCAAGAUCAGGAAGGUUAAAGGAGCAAAGCAAAACAAAACAAAAUCCCUGCCAAUCAAACAAAAAACCCAAGUAUAGCUAACGAUGAACCAAUAAAACAACUAAGAAGCGUGACUUGAACCUGUUGGCUGGGUCAGGCUUUGGGAAUACUUAAGAGCCUGAUCUCAGUGAUUCAACAAACAAAAACUGAGCACCUACUACAUUCCAGACACUGUUCUAGUGUCUAAACUUGGUAUCCUCUUGGAGCUUUUUAGUGGGGGAGAAGAUGAUGAACACAAUGAGCCAUGAGGGAUAGCUUCAGGAAAAGCCUUCCAGAUUAAGAGAAGAAUAGCAAGCUCAAAGAGCCCAAAGAAGGAACAAGUUGUUUUCAAAGAAGGCCAACCACUUGAGGCUACAGUGAAUGAAGGGGAGAAGCAUGGGAGAUGAGAAGGUGAGAUGUGUGAACCCAGUAUGACCCCAGGCCGGGAGUGGGGGGAGUGGCCUAGGGGAAGUGUGGAAGCAAGAGGUAGGUGUCUACUUAGGACUUCCAGGAAGCAAUGAUACUUGGAAACACCACCAUGCUGAGGAUCUUUUCUGACUCCGCAUGUUCUGUUGAUUCAUUUCAGCUGACUCCUCCUGGGAUAGGGAUCUAAAAGGCAAACAUCAGCCACCUAUUUGCCUGUUGUGGAUAACACUGUUGGUGAUACGAUAGCCCUGAGCUGAGGUCUUGGUCAAGUCACUUCACCUCAUUGAACAUUGGUGGUCCACAAAGGGUCCUUUCUCAGGUCUGACAUCCUCUGAGUCCUAAUUUUUGUGAUUGAACUAUAAUGAGCUCCACCACCCAAGAUGACCACAGGGGUA
RNAcentral lists this long non-coding RNA (893 nucleotides) under Marmota monax (woodchuck). Lineage: Eukaryota; Metazoa; Chordata; Mammalia; Rodentia; Sciuridae. The record is from RNAcentral.